Molecule: non-coding RNA, 430 nt
Organism: Paralichthys olivaceus (Japanese flounder)
Lineage: Eukaryota; Metazoa; Chordata; Actinopteri; Pleuronectiformes; Paralichthyidae
Source: RefSeq, a predicted model, not a curated record
CCGCCUACUUCUGUGUCACCUUGUUUGCUUCCUCCACCGGUGCAGGUAGGAUAGCAUCAGCUGUAAUUGCUUUCAUGGGAAGUUAGCCAUUCAAUGCACAUUCACGUGUGGUGUGUCUGGCUCAUGAUGACCGCUGGCCACUGUUAGUGUGUGAGCAUGGUGAUCUCCUCUCCCUCAUGUGUCCGCAGGGACACAGUCUAAUCGGAACCGUGGGCCAGCUGAUUGUUGCCUCGCUGCCUUCGCCUCGCCGCUUCUGAUGCUUUGUUUCCACCCCAUGGCUUUUCUGGCCUCACCUACCCCUGCCUGUUUUGCCUUCACAGCGUGGAGACCUGAACAUAGCUGCACAGUUGGCUAAGCUUUUGAGUCCCUUUUAGCUUGGGUCACUUGUUAAAUGUUUGUGUGGACUGUAGGCUUACUUCCCUUCUUUUGU